RNAcentral lists this ribosomal RNA (828 nucleotides) under Parmelina tiliacea. Its description in RNAcentral is "eukaryotic LSU rRNA". It matches the Rfam family "Eukaryotic large subunit ribosomal RNA", at positions 90 to 933 of the family's 3401-position model. Lineage: Eukaryota; Fungi; Ascomycota; Lecanoromycetes; Lecanorales; Parmeliaceae. The record is from RNAcentral.
CGAGUGAAGCGGCAACAGCUCAAAUUUGAAAUCUGGCCCUUUCGGGGUCCGAGUUGUAAUUUGUAGAGAGUGCUUCGGGGGAGGCGGCGGUCUAAGUCCAUUGGAACAUGGCGUCAUAGAGGGUGAGAAUCCCGUAUGCGACCGUGGCUCGAACCCAUGUGAAGCCUCUUCGACGAGUCGAGUUGUUUGGGAAUGCAGCUCAAAAUGGGUGGUAAAUUUCAUCUAAAGCUAAAUACCGGCUGGAGACCGAUAGCGCACAAGUAGAGUGAUCGAAAGAUGAAAAGCACUUUGGAAAGAGAGUCAAACAGUACGUGAAAUUGUUGAAAGGGAAGCGCUUGCAACCAGACCUGCCCGCAGGCGAUCAGCCGCUGUUCUCAGCGGUGCACUCGCCCUGCGAUCAGGCCAGCAUCGGUUUCGGCGGUCGGAUAAAGGCCUUGGGAAUGUAGCUCCCCUUCGGGGGAGCCUUAUAGCCCUCGGUGCAAUGCGGCCAGCCGAGACCGAGGACCGCGCUUCGGCUAGGAUGCUGGCGUAAUGGUUGUAAGCGACCCGUCUUGAAACACGGACCAAGGAGUCUAACAUCUAUGCGAGUGUUUGGGUGUCAAACCCAUGCGCGGAAUGAAAGUGAACGGAGGUGAGAACCCUGAAGGGCGCAUCAUCGACCGAUCCAGAUGUCUUCGGAUGGAUUUGAGUAUGAGCAUAGCUGUUGGGACCCGAAAGAUGGUGAACUAUGCCUGAAUAGGGUGAAGCCAGAGGAAACUCUGGUGGAGGCUCGCAGCGGUUCUGACGUGCAAAUCGAUCGUCAAAUUUGGGUAUAGGGGCGAAAGACUA